This 253-nucleotide ribosomal RNA is filed under the name uncultured bacterium. RNAcentral's name for it is "partial 16S ribosomal RNA". It matches the Rfam family "Bacterial small subunit ribosomal RNA", at positions 524 to 776 of the family's 1533-position model. The record is from RNAcentral.
UACGUAGGGGGCUAGCGUUGUCCGGAAUCAUUGGGCGUAAAGAGCGUGUAGGCGGCUAUACAGGUCCGUUGUGAAAACUCGAGGCUCAACCUCGAGACGCCGAUGGAAACCGUAUGGCUAGAGUCCGGAAGAGGAGAGCGGAAUUCCUGGUGUAGCGGUGAAAUGCGUAGAUAUCAGGAGGAACACCUGUGGUGUAGACGGCUUUCUGGACCAUAGCUGACGCUGAGACACGAAAGCGUGGGUAGCAAACAGG